ACUCCUACGGGAGGCAGCAGCUAAGAAUAUUCCGCAAUGGACGAAAGUCUGACGGAGCGACGCCGCGUGGAUGAUGAAGGCCGAAAGGUUGUAAAGUCCUUUUGUUGGGGAAGAAUAACCAUGGGAGGUAAUGCCCGUGGGAUGACAUGAACCGACGAAUAAGCCCCGGCUAACUACGUGCCAGCAGCCGCGGUAAU
Molecule: ribosomal RNA, 197 nt
Filed under: uncultured bacterium
Lineage: Bacteria
Description: partial 16S ribosomal RNA
Rfam family: Bacterial small subunit ribosomal RNA
Source: RNAcentral